Sander lucioperca (pikeperch) is the source of this 2314-nucleotide long non-coding RNA. RefSeq lists it as uncharacterized. The transcript is spliced from 3 exons. The record is from RefSeq and is a predicted model, not a curated record. Lineage: Eukaryota; Metazoa; Chordata; Actinopteri; Perciformes; Percidae.
CUGUUCGGAUGUUUUCACAACACUUGGGCUCCGGCUCCUUUCGUUUUUAUUUAUGUAUUUAUUAUUGGGUCAGACAUCUUACCAGGUAACAUCAUUUCCCAACACCUGGGAGCAGGAGGAAGAAGAGAAAGAGCUCAGCGCCGGCUCCUGACAAUAUAAACGAAACAAGGCAUCAAGAGAAUCCUCGCUGAGCGGAGAUGUAUUUACUGAAGCUGUCAGGACAGAGAGACGGAGCCCAAACCACCGGGGUCCCCUGUUACCAGCCGUGGUUCAAGCUGAGUGGACUGGGUCUUGAGCAGUGGAGCGCGGGGCCCAGCUGCCCAGGCUCGGGGACAUCGCAGAGGGGGACCUGCUGAUCGGACUGGUCUCCUCUGGGGUCCCCAGCAACGGCUUCAGCCUGGUCCGCAAACUCCUGGAGAGGGCCAACCGGAGCUACAGCGCCCCUGCUCCCUUUUGGCAAGUCAGGACAGACUGUCGGUAAGUCAUCUUUUCAGUCACAAGAUGGACCUGAGUGUACUUUUAAUGUAUUUGUGUGUGGUAACACGUUAAGACUUUCCCAAACAAUUGGUAGCAUUCGUUGCAGUUUUACUGUUUUGGUACAACAUUAAGACAACAUUUUCUCUGAGCCCUGGUGCUUCCUGCCAUUCUUUGGCCAAUGGAUUUACCCUCCAUUUGCCAUAAUGUCUGUUUUUGCUGAGAAAUAAUCCAGCCAUGAAAUUUGGUGGUAAAGAAUAAUUAUUUAACGUGUUGUAACCCUACCCAAAUGUGAGGACUUUCUGUUUUUAUAUCAUAGUAAACUGAAUAUAUUUAGGUUGUGGACUGUAAAAAAACAAAACACAGACAUUGAGACAUUCAUGCAUUUUUCACAUUUUCUGACAUUUUACAGUGCAAAUGAUUAAUUGAGAAAAUAAUCAGCAGAUUAAUGGAUAAUGAAAGUUAUUUUUAAGUUGCAUUCCUAAAUUAUUUAGGUGUAACAUCCCUCAGGUGUUGUCCCAGGGGCUGGCAGUGGAUUUAGGUGCUAGGGGUGGGAAUCUCCAGAGGCCUCACGAUCCGAUAUCAUCACGAUACUUAUGUCACGAUUCGAUAUUAUUGCGAUUUUAAACAUAUUGCAAUAUUCUGCGAUAUAUUGCAAUUUAUUACCUUUUUUCCAACUUCAAAUUUUUCCAAAUUUCAAAUGAUGUGCCCAAAAGGAAACUUUGUCAACAUCUGUUUUAUCUCAAAAGAUCAAUUUCUCUGUUGGUUCAUCUCACUUCAGUUUUAUUGCUACAAAAUGGGACCAACACAUAUGUAAUAAAAGAUUGAUACUUGGCAUCUGUAUCGAUACAGUGUUGCCAUGGAAAAUAUCGCGAUACUAUGCUGUAUCGAUUCCCCCCCCCACCCCUAUGUUGAACGCACGCGGACACUUGAUUUUCAAAUGAAGCAUGUUUUAGCAAUCUGGAAGGGUGGUGUGCCUCUGGAUGAAGCUGCAUUUGCAUUUUGGAAAUCAGUUACCUUUUUUAUGAUGACCUAGUGUGAGGCAGCGAAAAAAAGUGUUUCCUGUGGAAACCUAGUAGGAUAACCGCUGUGCACAUUGUAAACAUAAAUAAGCAGCCUUCUUUUCAUAUUCAGCACAGUUCCCCCCUCUUGAAAAUGUAGUGGUCUCUUUGUAGUUCUUGGUUCUCGUGCAUAUUUCCCUCCUUCACUCAGAUGUGUCUCGAUGGAGCAUCCCCCCAGUGUUUUCCUGGCUCCAAAAGGAGGGGGGGUCUGAGUGAGGAGGAGAUGUCCCGCACCUUCAACUGAGGCCUGGGGGCGGUGCUGGUGGUUCCCCCCCUGGCUGCUCAGAGGGUCUUACGCCAGCUUCGAGCACAUGAAGAGGCCUGGAUCGUGGGUUGACUGGCCCAGGCUGGGGUACGGGCCACUGGCUGCACAGUCCAUUUUGUUGCAGUAAGUAUGGCAUACUGUGGAAACAUCAUAUAUUAAACCAAAAUCUUUUUCACUCAGCCAUUGUUUUUGUUCAUCUGUGUUUAGGAAGAAGUGGAUGCAGGAGCCAUCAUCAUGCAGGAGGCGGUGCCAGUGCUGGUCAGCGACCCAGAGGAGAGUCUGUCGGACAGAAUCAGGAAGGCAGAGCACCGAGCCUUCCCCGCUGCUCUGGAGCUGGUGGCCAGCGCCUUCACUUCAUUCAUGCCUUCUUCAGACUGUACUCACAGUAUACUCAUAGCAUUGUAUGUCAUGAUUUUUGUGCGUAAAAAAGCCAUAGUAUAGUAUGUCGAAAAAAGUGAUAAAAAUCCGUAGUAUAGUAUGUGGAAAAAAGUGAAAAAGUCAUAGUACAGUAUGU